GCUGACGAGUGGCGGACGGGUGAGUAAUGUCUGGGAAACUGCCUGAUGGAGGGGGAUAACUACUGGAAACGGUGGCUAAUACCGCAUAACGUCGCAAGACCAAAGAGGGGGACCUUCGGGCCUCUUGCCAUCAGAUGUGCCCAGAUGGGAUUAGCUUGUUGGUGAGGUAACGGCUCACCAAGGCGACGAUCCCUAGCUGGUCUGAGAGGAUGACCAGCCACACUGGAACUGAGACACGGUCCAGACUCCUACGGGAGGCAGCAGUGGGGAAUAUUGCACAAUGGGCGCAAGCCUGAUGCAGCCAUGCCGCGUGUAUGAAGAAGGCCUUCGGGUUGUAAAGUACUUUCAGCGGGGAGGAAGGUGUUGUGGUUAAUAACCGCAGCAAUUGACGUUACCCGCAGAAGAAGCACCGGCUAACUCCGUGCCAGCAGCCGCGGUAAUACGGAGGGUGCAAGCGUUAAUCGGAAUUACUGGGCGUAAAGCGCACGCAGGCGGUCUGUCAAGUCGGAUGUGAAAUCCCCGGGCUCAACCUGGGAACUGCAUUCGAAACUGGCAGGCUUGAGUCUUGUAGAGGGGGGUAGAAUUCCAGGUGUAGCGGUGAAAUGCGUAGAGAUCUGGAGGAAUACCGGUGGCGAAGGCGGCCCCCUGGACAAAGACUGACGCUCAGGUGCGAAAGCGUGGGGAGCAAACAGGAUUAGAUACCCUGGUAGUCCACGCCGUAAACGAUGUCUACUUGGAGGUUGUGCCCUUGAGGCGUGGCUUCCGGAGCUAACGCGUUAAGUAGACCGCCUGGGGAGUACGGCCGCAAGGUUAAAACUCAAAUGAAUUGACGGGGGCCCGCACAAGCGGUGGAGCAUGUGGUUUAAUUCGAUGCAACGCGAAGAACCUUACCUGGUCUUGACAUCCACAGAAGAAUCCAGAGAUGGAUUUGUGCCUUCGGGAACUGUGAGACAGGUGCUGCAUGGCUGUCGUCAGCUCGUGUUGUGAAAUGUUGGGUUAAGUCCCGCAACGAGCGCAACCCUUAUCCUUUGUUGCCAGCGGUUAGGCCGGGAACUCAAAGGAGACUGCCAGUGAUAAACUGGAGGAAGGUGGGGAUGACGUCAAGUCAUCAUGGCCCUUACGACCAGGGCUACACACGUGCUACAAUGGCGCAUACAAAGAGAAGCGACCUCGCGAGAGCAAGCGGACCUCAUAAAGUGCGUCGUAGUCCGGAUUGGAGUCUGCAACUCGACUCCAUGAAGUCGGAAUCGCUAGUAAUCGUGGAUCAGAAUGCCACGGUGAAUACGUUCCCGGGCCUUGUACACACCGCCCGUCACACCAUGGGAGUGGGUUGCAAAAGAAGUAGGUAGCUUAACCUUCGGGAGGGCGCUUACCACUUUGUGAUUCAUGACUGGGGUGAAGUCGUAACAAGGUAACCGUAGGGGAACCUGCGGUUGGAUCACCUCCUUACCUUAAAGAA
RNAcentral lists this ribosomal RNA (1459 nucleotides) under Salmonella enterica. Its description in RNAcentral is "bacterial SSU rRNA". It matches the Rfam family "Bacterial small subunit ribosomal RNA". Lineage: Bacteria; Pseudomonadati; Pseudomonadota; Gammaproteobacteria; Enterobacterales; Enterobacteriaceae. The record is from RNAcentral. RNAcentral also lists the same sequence under 5 other names.